This 202-nucleotide ribosomal RNA is filed under the name uncultured bacterium. RNAcentral describes it as "partial 16S ribosomal RNA". It matches the Rfam family "Bacterial small subunit ribosomal RNA", at positions 793 to 993 of the family's 1533-position model. The record is from RNAcentral.
GUCCACGCCGUAAACGAUGAGUGCUAGGUGUUGGAUCCUUUCCGGGAUUCAGUGCCGCAGCUAACGCAUUAAGCACUCCGCCUGGGGAGUACGACCGCAAGGUUGAAACUCAAAGGAAUUGACGGGGCCCGGCACAAGCGGUGGAGCAUGUGGUUUAAUUCGAAGCAACGCGAAGAACCUUACCAGGUCUUGACAUCCUCUG